UACGAAGGGUGCAAGCGUUACUCGGAAUUACUGGGCGUAAAGCGUGCGUAGGUGGUUGUUUAAGUCUGUUGUGAAAGCCCUGGGCUCAACCUGGGAAUUGCAGUGGAUACUGGGCAACUAGAGUGUGGUAGAGGGUAGUGGAAUUCCCGGUGUAGCAGUGAAAUGCGUAGAGAUCGGGAGGAACAUCCAUGGCGAAGGCAGCUACCUGGACCAACACUGACACUGAGGCACGAAGCGUGGGGGAAACAGGAUUAGAUACCCGCGUAGUCC
RNAcentral lists this ribosomal RNA (270 nucleotides) under uncultured bacterium. RNAcentral describes it as "partial 16S ribosomal RNA". It matches the Rfam family "Bacterial small subunit ribosomal RNA", at positions 524 to 796 of the family's 1533-position model. The record is from RNAcentral.